GGGUGAUUAGCUCAGCUGGGAGAGCAUCUCCCUUACAAGGAGGGGGUCGGCGGUUCGAUCCCGUCAUCACCCACCA
RNAcentral lists this transfer RNA (76 nucleotides) under Klebsiella aerogenes. RNAcentral's name for it is "tRNA-Val". It matches the Rfam family "tRNA". Rfam says of the family: Transfer RNA (tRNA) molecules are approximately 80 nucleotides in length. Lineage: Bacteria; Pseudomonadati; Pseudomonadota; Gammaproteobacteria; Enterobacterales; Enterobacteriaceae. RNAcentral also lists the same sequence under 105 other names. The record is from RNAcentral.